This 64-nucleotide transfer RNA is filed under the name Orius niger. Its description in RNAcentral is "tRNA-Gly". The record is from RNAcentral. Lineage: Eukaryota; Metazoa; Arthropoda; Insecta; Hemiptera; Anthocoridae.
AUUCUUUUAAUAUAAUAAAGUAUAUUUAACUUCCAAUUAAAAAGUCUUAACUUAAGAAAGAAUA